CGUCAGAACUUCUUAAGUGUCCAAAGCUUCAUCACCCUCUGAAGAUCCUCUUGAAGUCUGUGAAGAUUCUCUUUUGCGAGUCAACUCUUCUACCAAUGAAGAAAAGGACCUUUCAAGCUUGAUCAGAAUAGCUACUCUCAUUUUUGUCUGUCCACUCUUGAGAACGUGGGUCAUCAGACUUGUUAGCUGAAUAAGGAAAGUCUUCUCUGCACAUGGUCAAAGUAUCUGAAACUCUUACUCAGUUUUAGAAACAACCAAACUGCAUCAAGACAAGUUGCUUGAAGACAAAAGGCUAUCCACUUCAACGGUCAUUUCUGCAACGACUCUUUUCUAGCUGUAUAUAUAUAUACUAGAAGGAUCAGUUGUAAAAUAUACAAUUAAGAUUAUCAAGGAUUUAACACGCGCUGAACAAACUCUGAAUUCUGUGUAUACAAGCUCUGAACCUCUGAUCUAGUGUUUCUGCACUUGUAGUUCAAAUACUUUGUAUUCAUUGUAUUUGCUCUGUUAGGUUCUUCUAAGAGCAGUUGUAUUCUUUCAACUAUUUACUAUCUCUUGUACUUGAGG
Molecule: long non-coding RNA, 564 nt
Filed under: Trifolium pratense (red clover)
Lineage: Eukaryota; Viridiplantae; Streptophyta; Magnoliopsida; Fabales; Fabaceae
Description: long non-coding RNA (TPRA_LNC013706)
Source: RNAcentral